UGCCAGACUCCUACGGGAGGCAGCAGUGGGGAAUAUUGGGCAAUGGGCGCAAGCCUGACCCAGCAACGCCGCGUGAAGGAAGAAGGCUUUCGGGUUGUAAACUUCUUUUAUUCGGGACGAAGCAAGUGACGGUACCGAAUGAAUAAGCCACGGCUAACUACGUGCCAGCAGCCGCGGUAAUACGGAGGAUGCGAGCGUUAUCCGGAUUUAUUGGGUUUAAAGGGUGCGUAGGCGGACGCUUAAGUCAGCGGUAAAAUUGCGGGGCCCAACCUCGUCGAGCCGUUGAAACUGGGUGCCUUGAGUGGGCGAGAAGUACGCGGAAUGCGUGGUGUAGCGGUGAAAUGCAUAGAUAUCACGCAGAACUCCGAUUGCGAAGGCAGCGUACCGGCGCCCAACUGACGCUGAAGCACGAAGGCGUGGGUAUCGAACAGGAUUAGAUACCCUUGUAGG
This 450-nucleotide ribosomal RNA is filed under the name uncultured bacterium. RNAcentral's name for it is "bacterial SSU rRNA". It matches the Rfam family "Bacterial small subunit ribosomal RNA", at positions 329 to 794 of the family's 1533-position model. The record is from RNAcentral.